UACGUAGGUGGCAAGCGUUGUCCGGAUUUACUGGGCGUAAGGCGUAUGCAGGCGGAUACUUAAGUCGGAAGUGAAAGGUGGGAGCUCAACUCCCACAUUGCUCCCUAUACUGGGUGUCUUGAGUGGCGGAGAGGGAGAUGGAACGACACGUGUAGCGGUGAAAUGCGUUGAUAUGUGUCGGAACAUCAGUGGCGAAAGCGACUUCCUGGACCAAUACUGACGCUCAUGUGCGAAAGCGUGGGGAGCAAACAGG
Molecule: ribosomal RNA, 253 nt
Filed under: uncultured bacterium
Lineage: Bacteria
Description: partial 16S ribosomal RNA
Rfam family: Bacterial small subunit ribosomal RNA
Source: RNAcentral